GGGUGACGGGCGGUGUGUGCGCAUUCUAGAGCUUUUUUCAUAACGUAUUUCUGUACGUUAUUACUAUCGAAUCCUUUUUCAUUAACAUUUUCGGUGGAAAAUCCUCGGUUGUAAAGUAGAGUAGCUCAUCUAUCCCCACCUCAUUAGCUGCACCUUGAUCUGACGUUUAGGCGUAAACCUCUUAGCUCACUUUCUAAAAGAGGUGAGCUGACGGCGAUGGUAUACAGGCUGGUUGGGUUUCUAGAGGUGGUGAGGUUCCUCGUGGGUUAUCAAUUCGAUGACAAGCUCCUCCGAAUAGGGUUAGAAAACCGCCAAGUCCUUUAAGUUUCAACUUUUUAGUUGUACUACUCUGGUGUUUCUUUGUUUACGUAGAAGUAUAGUGGGGUA
RNAcentral lists this ribosomal RNA (387 nucleotides) under Astichopus multifidus. Its description in RNAcentral is "partial 12S ribosomal RNA". The record is from RNAcentral. Lineage: Eukaryota; Metazoa; Echinodermata; Holothuroidea; Aspidochirotida; Stichopodidae.